UACCCAUGGUGCGGGCAUUGUCGCUGAAGAUCUUUAAAUCUUUCCCAAGCUUCAUAAUGAGUAUCGUCUUCUUUCAUUCGAAAUGUGACUAUUUCACUUCUCAUCUUUGAGGUC
Jatropha curcas is the source of this 114-nucleotide non-coding RNA. NCBI's taxonomy places the organism in Eukaryota, Viridiplantae, Streptophyta, Magnoliopsida, Malpighiales, Euphorbiaceae. The record is from Rfam.